RNAcentral lists this ribosomal RNA (310 nucleotides) under uncultured bacterium. RNAcentral describes it as "partial 16S ribosomal RNA". It matches the Rfam family "Bacterial small subunit ribosomal RNA", at positions 503 to 807 of the family's 1533-position model. The record is from RNAcentral.
AAGAGACAGCAGUAGCCACGGGAAUACGGAGGGUGCAAGCGUUAAUCGGAAUUACUGGGCGUAAAGCGCACGCAGGCGGUCUGACAAGUCAGAUGUGAAAUCCCCGGGCUUAACCUGGGAACUGCAUUUGAAACUGUCAGGCUGGAGUCUUGUAGAGGGGGGUAGAAUUCCAGGUGUAGCGGUGAAAUGCGUAGAGAUCUGGAGGAAUACCGGUGGCGAAGGCGGCCCCCUGGACAAAGACUGACGCUCAGGUGCGAAAGCGUGGGGAGCAAACAGGAUUAGAUACCCCUGUAGUCCCUGUCUCUUAUAC